RNAcentral lists this unclassified non-coding RNA (1459 nucleotides) under Pogonomyrmex barbatus (red harvester ant). Its description in RNAcentral is "uncharacterized LOC105425692, transcript variant X2". The record is from RNAcentral. Lineage: Eukaryota; Metazoa; Arthropoda; Insecta; Hymenoptera; Formicidae.
AUAUAUAUAUAUACUUGUUAACACGCUACUAACGUACGCAGUGCAGCUUUCGCUAUCUGUGAAUCGGUAUCGAGUGUGGAGGGAGGACCUAGAGGAAUAAGACGAAGGCGACUUCGACGCUCGCGACAACGAAGUUCAACGCCGACGAAUGCUGGCCAGACAGGCAGUAAUGCCGGCCCAUGCGACCAAUCAACAAUGAACAGCAAGGAAGGAACACCCGCGAACGACGUUUCCGUGUCUAACAACAGUUCGCAAGGACCUAAGGGCCAAAGAGAACAUCGGUCUCGUCCUCCUCGUAUGCAGCAGAGCAAUAAGCCUAAAGAAGCUCUGGUUAAUGGUACCAGUGGCUAAGCGACCGUUACGUUGUCAUCAAUCGCUACCAACGUUGCCACGUUACACCUGAUGAGCUAUCAACUCCCAGCACGUAACAUGACGCAUACCGACGCAAGGACUACACGAUUAUGGAACGCGACAUGAUUAGUCUACGCUCGUUGUUAAGACUGUUUGCUACCGAUAAGAAUACGACAGUUGUUUAAGAAAUCGUCAUUCUCCUUAAACACAUUUAAGGAUACAUAUUAAUAUCCAUGCAUGGUUUAGUUUAAUGAUGGUAAUUACACUGUCAUGUUUGAUAUACGGAUACAUUCAUUGGGAGAUAGAGGAUAGCAUUUGGUAAGAAGGAUUCCCUGAUUGUGAAACUGUGCCUCAUUUUUAUACCAAGCUCCUAACUUAUGUGGCAGUGCUUCGGAUGUACCGCACGGUAUACCUUAGUCACUCGUUAACAUUUAACGAUUCAAUAUUAGGCUGGAUAAUCGCGGUUCGCGUACGUCAAUUAUCGCUCUGGAUAGGUUUUCAUCUAGAUAUGUCGCUCAGUACUUAGAAAUAAUUCGGUACUUCCAGUAUGUGAUUAUCAUUCCGAUGUCGUUUCGAUAUCGAGUUUAUUUAGUUUAGCUUAAUAGACUCACAUCGGCGAAUGGAGAGAAAUUAUUCAACGAAUUCUUUUCAUGAAUAUUCCAUAAUUGAAAUUAAAGUAAAAAUGUUGGUUAUCCGAUACUUUGUUACUUUAUCUUGACGUAACAUUUUCUCGUUACUUUGAUACGCUAUUGGACACAAAUACUGAAAACCGAAACGAACGCGACAUAACUGAGAUGCAAUUCGAUGCGGUACAAGGAAAAUGGAUUUCCGUUGUUAAUCGUAACAAUGGUAAGUGGCAGCUGUAGGAAAUUCUGAUUCAAAGGUGUUCCCAAUGAUGUUCCUUUCUAUUUACUUGAGGAAAUUGAGUUUUUGAUUUACGAUUAUUAGUAGAGUUAUUUAACAACACUAGAUUUUUAUGUUUCAAUACUGAGUGUUGAUUAAUAGUAUCAUGAUUGCGAAAACGCGAUGUGACCUAUUCAAAUGUUACACGGUCAAAUGUGCACACGGAGUCGGUUUUUAUUUCCGAAUACACUUUUCACGUAAUUUA